AUUGUGGUGCUUGCACUACAUGAGAGUGGCGCACGGGUGCGUAACACGUAUGUAACCUACCUUUGUCAGGGGGAUAGCCUCUCGAAAGAGAGAUUAAGCCCGCAUAAAAUCACACUGUGGCAUCACAGAAUGAUCAAAUAUUUAUAGGACAAAGAUGGGCAUGCGGAACAUUAGCUAGUUGGCGGGGUAACGGCUCACCAAGGCUACGAUGUUUAGGGGAUCUGAGAGGAUGACCCCCCACACUGGUACUGAGACACGGACCAGACUCCUACGGGAGGCAGCAGUAAGGAAUAUUGGUCAAUGGGCGGAAGCCUGAACCAGCCAUGCCGCGUGCAGGAAGACGGCCCUACGGGUUGUAAACUGCUUUUGCAGGGGAAUAAACCUUCGUAUGUAUACGAAGCUGAAUGUACCUUGAGAAUAAGGAUCGGCUAACUCCGUGCCAGCAGCCGCGGUAAUACGGAGGAUCCAAGCGUUAUCCGGAUUUAUUGGGUUUAAAGGGUGCGUAGGCGGCCUAUUAAGUCAGGGGUGAAAGACGGUAGCUUAACUAUCGCAGUGCCUUUGAUACUGAUAGGCUUGAAUGUACUUGAGGUAGGCGGAAUGUGACAAGUAGCGGUGAAAUGCAUAGAUAUGUCACAGAACACCAAUUGCGAAGGCAGCUUACUAAAGUAUGAUUGACGCUGAGGCACGAAAGCGUGGGGAUCAAACAGGAUUAGAUACCCUGGUAGUCCACGCCCUAAACGAUGAACACUCGAUGUUGGCGAUAUACGGUCAGCGUCUAAGCGAAAGCGUUAAGUGUUCCACCUGGGGAGUACGCCCGCAAGGGUGAAACUC
This 831-nucleotide ribosomal RNA is filed under the name uncultured Sphingobacteriia bacterium. RNAcentral describes it as "bacterial SSU rRNA". It matches the Rfam family "Bacterial small subunit ribosomal RNA", at positions 70 to 902 of the family's 1533-position model. The record is from RNAcentral. Lineage: Bacteria; Pseudomonadati; Bacteroidota; Sphingobacteriia.